AACGCGAAGAACCUUACCUAGGCUUGACAUAUACAGGACGACGGCAGAAAUGUCGUUUCCCUUGUGGCUUGUAUACAGGUGGUGCAUGGUUGUCGUCAGCUCGUGUCGUGAGAUGUUGGGUUAAGUCCCGCAACGAGCGCAACCCCUGUCUCAUGUUGCCAGCACGUAAUGGUGGGGACUCGUGAGAGACUGCCGGGGUCAACUCGGAGGAAGGUGGGGAUGACGUCAAAUCAUCAUGCCCCUUAUGUCUAGGGCUUCACACAUGCUACAAUGGCUAGUACGGAGGGCUGCGAGACCGUGAGGUGGAGCGAAUCCCUUAAAGCUGGCCUCAGUUCGGAUUGGGGUCUGCAACUCGACCCCAUGAAGUCGGAGUCGCUAGUAAUCGCAGAUCAGCAAUGCUGCGGUGAAUACGUUCCCGGGCCUUGUACACACCG
This 434-nucleotide ribosomal RNA is filed under the name uncultured bacterium. RNAcentral describes it as "bacterial SSU rRNA". It matches the Rfam family "Bacterial small subunit ribosomal RNA", at positions 958 to 1392 of the family's 1533-position model. The record is from RNAcentral.